GACGUAGGGGGCGAGCGUUGUCCGGAAUUACUGGGCGUAAAGGGCGCGUAGGCGGCCCGUGAAGUCAGGGGUGAAAUACCGCAGCUCAACUGCGGGGGUGCCCAUGAAACCAGCGGGCUUGAGGGCAGGAGAGGGGAGCGGAAUUCCCAGUGUAGCGGUGAAAUGCGUAGAUAUUGGGAGGAACACCAGUGGCGAAGGCGGCUCUCUGGCCUGGCCCUGACGCUGAGGCGCGAAAGCGUGGGGAGCGAACAGG
RNAcentral lists this ribosomal RNA (253 nucleotides) under uncultured bacterium. Its description in RNAcentral is "partial 16S ribosomal RNA". It matches the Rfam family "Bacterial small subunit ribosomal RNA", at positions 524 to 776 of the family's 1533-position model. The record is from RNAcentral.